CAGAUGCCCAUGAAACAAGCGAAGAUAUCACUAAGUAAGGAGCCUGUGUCAUUUAAAAAAGCUUUGACUGAUCAGCUGGGAGUCCUUUUGAAAGGGACUAACAGCACCGUGGAGCUAGAAGACGACCGGAAGAUAAGAGUGUCCGUGAACAACACUGAAGCUACAGAAAAGGCAUUGGAAGCAAAAUCUCAGGCUGCUGGCUUCACAUAUGACACUCCGAAAAAACCAGAGGUAAAAGGAGUCGUUACAUACUACAUAGACAGGGCGGCAAGUCCUCCGGCUCUUGUAGCAGAAUACGAGGAGAACCUUUCCUUAGUCAUGCACAAAUUGGCCCUGCCCAUAUUGAAUUUUUUGAAAACGGAUGAAGCGAAAACGGGGCUCGCAGCACCGCAAAAUUCAAAAGAGAAUUUGAAAUGAAUUAUCCGUCGAGCCAGUGUGCGUGCUCACCUGUGCCAUGUUAUGGUGAGUUCCUCGUCAGGGCAACAUGCUGAACGGUAGAUAACCAAGGCAAGCUGUGGUGGUUCUUUGAGGUCAGGAAAUUUUUAGAACAGCUUUCCUUUGUUAUUUUUAUUCUAGUGGGGCUAAAGCUGUUCAUUGGGAGAUCUGGAGCCUUCAGGGCAAAUAGAGUUCGCAGGUAUGGACCUGCAACUUGCAACUGAAUGUCUAUAGAGGUGCAGAAAUAAAUACUGUGCUGUACUUCUGCCAAGUGCAGAAGGUAAGAAGUUCGUCAUGUCAUUAAAAAAAAAGCCUUGCACGUCUUGGCAGGCAGUUUGAAUAAGAUGAAUUUCAUUUAUCUUUUUAUUUAUACAUACUGCAGACCAGCAUCUUGGUCUAAGCAGGACAGGCAAAAUUUCAUAUAUUAAUUGGGCACCAUGCCACAAUUAAGCAAAAAUUAUGCACUGUGGCUCAGUCACCGCACUGAAGCUUGUGCAGACCAUAUAUCCGGUCAGCUGCCUUUAGCCAACCAGGAUUUCAUUUGGACAUUACGGAAUGGCUUCACU
Rhipicephalus sanguineus (brown dog tick) is the source of this 1001-nucleotide long non-coding RNA. RefSeq lists it as uncharacterized. NCBI's taxonomy places the organism in Eukaryota, Metazoa, Arthropoda, Arachnida, Ixodida, Ixodidae. The record is from RefSeq and is a predicted model, not a curated record. The transcript has 3 exons.